RNAcentral lists this ribosomal RNA (785 nucleotides) under Rotylenchulus reniformis. Its description in RNAcentral is "eukaryotic LSU rRNA". It matches the Rfam family "Eukaryotic large subunit ribosomal RNA", at positions 344 to 964 of the family's 3401-position model. The record is from RNAcentral. Lineage: Eukaryota; Metazoa; Nematoda; Chromadorea; Rhabditida; Hoplolaimidae.
ACAAGUACCGUGAGGGAAAGUUGCAAAGCACUUUGAAGAGAGAGUUAAAAAGGACGUGAAACCGAUGAGGUGGAAACGGACAGAACCGGCGUAUCUGGCCUGUAUUCAACUGGAGACCCAAGCACAUUGGGUAUGCCUUUUCCAGAUUGGACAGGCGAUCCAACUGUUUGGGGUCUACAGUGCAUUUGCAGGUGGAGUGCGCUGAGGUGGUCGGGUUAGCGGUGUGAUCUCGGGUUUGAGGCCAGCCCCUCGGGGUAUGGUACCCGGCUCGGUGGAGUGCUGUUUAGCCUGUUCAACUUGUAUGGAAAUGGUAUCGGGUCCGGCUGGUAUCCAGCUAACAACUGGUGGCGGUCGCAUGCGACACGUACUAGUGGUUGGUUGGGUCCUGGUCUGGCUCCCAUGUUUUCCAAUCCUCGGUGUAAAAACCGGUCAUCUGUCCGACCCGUCUUGAAACACGGACCAAGGAGUUUAGCGUGUGCGCGAGUCAUUGGGUGUUGGAAACCCAAAGGCGCAAUGAAAGUGAAGGUCUCUCUUGUGGAGCUGAUGUGUGACCCGGGUCACCGAGGUGGCCCGGAGCAACAUGGUCCCGUCCUGAUCGCUUGCGAUGGGGCGGAGACAGAGCGUACGCGCUGAGACCCGAAAGAUGGUGAACUAUUCCUGAGCAGGACGAAGCCAGAGGAAACUCUGGUGGAAGUCCGAAGCGAUUCUGACGUGCAAAUCGAUCGUCUGACUUGGGUAUAGGGGCGAAAGACUAAUCGAACCAUCUAGUAGCUGGUUCCUUCCGA